Molecule: ribosomal RNA, 406 nt
Filed under: uncultured bacterium
Lineage: Bacteria
Description: partial 16S ribosomal RNA
Rfam family: Bacterial small subunit ribosomal RNA
Source: RNAcentral
AUUGAACGCUGGCGGCAGGCCUAACACAUGCAAGUCGAACGAGUGGCGGACGGGUGAGUAAUGUCUGGGAAACUGCCCGAUGGCGGGGGAUAACUACUGGAAACGGUAGCUAAUACCGCAUACCAUCGGAUGUGCCCAGAUGGGAUUAGCUAGUAGGUGGGGUAACGACUCACCUAGGCGACGAUCCCUAGCUGGUCUGAGAGGAUGACCAGACAAACUGGAACUGAGACACGGUCCAGACUACUAAGGGAGGCAGCAGUGGCGAAUAAUGCGCAAAGGGUGCAAGCCUGAAGCAAGCGUGCCGCGAGUAGGAAGAAGGCCUUCGGGUUGUAAAGAACUUUCAGCGAGGAGGCGUUACUCGAAGAAGAAGCACGGGAGAACUCCGUGUCAGCAGCCGCGGUAAUAC